Molecule: ribosomal RNA, 253 nt
Filed under: uncultured bacterium
Lineage: Bacteria
Description: partial 16S ribosomal RNA
Rfam family: Bacterial small subunit ribosomal RNA
Source: RNAcentral
UACGUAGGGUGCGAGCGUUAAUCGGAAUUACUGGGCGUAAAGCGUGCGCAGGCGGGCUUUUAAGCCAGACGUGAAAUCCCCGGGCUUAACCUGGGAAUGGCGUUUGGGACUGGAAGUCUGGAGUGCGGCAGAGGAGACUGGAAUUCCCAGUGUAGCGGUGAAAUGCGUAGAUAUUGGGAGGAACACCAGUGGCGAAGGCGGCUACCUGGACCGGUUCUGACGCUGAUGCGCGAAAGCGUGGGGAGCAAACAGG